UUUAAAUGUAAAUUUAUAUACUAAAUUAAUAAUAGUUAUGUUCUUUAAAUUUAAAGAUUUUGGCGGUAUUUUAGUCUAUUCAGAGGAACCUGUUCUAUAAUUGAUAAUCCACGAUUAAUUAAAUUUAAAUUAUUAAUUUGUAUAUCGUCGUUAAUAAAUAAUUUUAAAAGAAUUGAUAAUUUUUAAAAGUUUAUAUAAAAAAGUAAAUCAGAUCAAGGUGCAGUUUAUAUUUAAAAAGAAAUGGGUUACAAUAAAUUUAUUUAUAUGGAUAUUUAUAUGAAAUUAUAUGUUGAAGGUGGAUUUGAUUGUAAUAAAAUUUAAUUAAAUUUUAUGAUUUUAGCUCUAAAAUAUGU
RNAcentral lists this ribosomal RNA (353 nucleotides) under Ilybius sp. UNM KBMAgsp411. RNAcentral's name for it is "partial 12S ribosomal RNA". The record is from RNAcentral. Lineage: Eukaryota; Metazoa; Arthropoda; Insecta; Coleoptera; Dytiscidae.